RNAcentral lists this ribosomal RNA (318 nucleotides) under uncultured PS1 clade bacterium. RNAcentral's name for it is "SSU rRNA". It matches the Rfam family "Bacterial small subunit ribosomal RNA", at positions 29 to 367 of the family's 1533-position model. The record is from RNAcentral.
ACGAACGCUGGCGGCAGGCCUAACACAUGCAAGUCGAACGAUAAGCUUCUUCGGAAGUGGACAGUGGCAGACGGGUGAGUAACGCGUGGGGAUCUGCCCAGAGGUUCGGGACAACCAUUGGAAACGAUGGCUAAUACCGAAUAAGCCCGUAAGGGGAAAGAUUUAUCGGAAUUGGAUUAGCCCGCGUUAGAUUAGAUAGUUGGUGGGGUAAUGGCCUACCAAGUCUACGAUCUAUAGCUGGUUUGAGAGGAUGAUCAGCAACACUGGGACUGAGACACGGCCCAAACUCCUACGGGAGGCAGCAGUGGGGAAUCUUGC